This is a long non-coding RNA of Astyanax mexicanus (Mexican tetra), 265 nucleotides long. RefSeq lists it as uncharacterized. Lineage: Eukaryota; Metazoa; Chordata; Actinopteri; Characiformes; Acestrorhamphidae. The record is from RefSeq and is a predicted model, not a curated record. The transcript has 3 exons.
AUACAACAGUGAUCAUGUGCUUAUUUCACUUCAGAGUGCCUGAGGAUGAUCGUUUAAAGCAGCACUAGAGUGUUGAAUUUGGAUCGCUUCUGGUUGGGUCUACUGCUCAGCUGUAUGAUCGACUGUCAUAUCAUCAAUGUCCAAUAAAAAACAUGUAUAUCCAAAACAUCUUUACAGAUGAUGUUCCAGAAGACUAUUAGAGCAUAGGUGUGAGAAUUUGAUGGCAUGCUGCCGCAGUAUUAGUAAUAGUGAGAUCAGGAUGUUG